This 253-nucleotide ribosomal RNA is filed under the name uncultured bacterium. Its description in RNAcentral is "partial 16S ribosomal RNA". It matches the Rfam family "Bacterial small subunit ribosomal RNA", at positions 524 to 776 of the family's 1533-position model. The record is from RNAcentral.
UACGGGGGGAGCAAGCGUUGUUCGGAUUUACUGGGCGUAAAGGGCGCGUAGGCGGCACCGCAAGUCGACUGUGAAAUCUCCGGGCUUAACCCGGAAAGGUCAGCCGAUACUGCGGGGCUAGAGUGCAGAAGGGGCAACUGGAAUUCUCGGUGUAGCGGUGAAAUGCGUAGAUAUCGAGAGGAACACCUGCGGCGAAGGCGGGUUGCUGGGCUGACACUGACGCUGAUGCGACGAAGCUAGGGGAGCGAACGGG